CAGCAGCCGCGGGAAAACGGAGGGUGCAAGCGUUAAUCGGAAUUACUGGGCGUAAAGCGUGCGUAGGCGGUUCGUUAAGACAGAUGUGAAAUCCCCGGGCUUAACCUGGGAACUGCAUUUGUGACUGGCGAGCUAGAGUAUGGCAGAGGGGGGUAGAAUUCCACGUGUAGCAGUGAAAUGCGUAGAGAUGUGGAGGAAUACCGAUGGCGAAGGCAGCCCCCUGGGCCAAUACUGACGCUCAUGCACGAAAGCGUGGGGAGCAAACAGGAUUAGAUACCCCGGUAGUCCCUGUCUCUUAUAC
Molecule: ribosomal RNA, 301 nt
Filed under: uncultured bacterium
Lineage: Bacteria
Description: partial 16S ribosomal RNA
Rfam family: Bacterial small subunit ribosomal RNA
Source: RNAcentral